UUCUGGCUCAGGAUGAACGCUAGCGGCAGGCCUAACACAUGCAAGUCGCGGGGCAGCACGGGUAGCAAUACCUGGUGGCGACCGGCGCACGGGUGCGUAACGCGUAUGCAACCUGCCCCCAUCAGGGGAAUAGCCCGCCGAAAGGCGGAUUAAUGCCCCAUAGGCCCAGGGCGCCGCAUGGCGCUAUGGGUAAAGCUCCGGCGGAUGGGGAUGGGCAUGCGUGCCAUUAGCUAGUUGGGCGGUAACGGCGCACCAAGGCAACGAUCAUUAGGGGUUCUGAGAGGAAGGUCCCCCCACACUGGUACUGAGACACGGACCAGACUCCUACGGGAGGCAGCAGUGAGGAAUAUUGGUCAAUGGACGAGAGUCUGAACCAGCCAAGUCGCGUGCAGGAAGAAUGUCCUAUGGAUUGUAAACUGCUUUUGCAGGGGAAUAAAGUGCAUCACGUGUGAUGUUUUGUAUGUACUCUGCGAAUAAGGAUCGGCUAACUCCGUGCCAGCCGCCGC
This 506-nucleotide ribosomal RNA is filed under the name uncultured bacterium. RNAcentral's name for it is "bacterial SSU rRNA". It matches the Rfam family "Bacterial small subunit ribosomal RNA", at positions 17 to 518 of the family's 1533-position model. The record is from RNAcentral.